AUUGAAUGCUGGCGGUAGGCCUAAAACACGCAAGUCGAGCGGAGCGGCGGAAGGGUGAGUAAUGCCUAGGAAUCGGCUUGGUAGAGGGGGACAACGUGCGGAAACGGGCGCUAAUACCGCAUAAUAACAGAAGAGCCUAGGUAGGAUUAGCAAGUGGGUGGGUUAACGGCCUACCAAGGCGACGAUCCGUAACUGGACUGAGAGGAUGAUCAGUCACACUGGAACUGAGACACUGUCCUGAUUCCUACGGGAUGCAGCAGUGGGGAAUAUUUGUCGAUGGGCGUAAGCCUGAUCCAGCCAUGCCGCGUGUGUGAAGAAUGUCUUCGGAUUGUAAAGCACUUUAAGUUGGGAAGCGUUACCAACAGAAUAAGCACCGGCUAACUUCGUGCCAGCCGCCGCGGUAAUC
This 406-nucleotide ribosomal RNA is filed under the name uncultured bacterium. RNAcentral's name for it is "partial 16S ribosomal RNA". It matches the Rfam family "Bacterial small subunit ribosomal RNA", at positions 30 to 525 of the family's 1533-position model. The record is from RNAcentral.